AGUGAGUAGAUUUUGACAUAGCUGGUGACGUUUACUCCCUGCUGAGCUCUGGGCUCCGGCGUGUCUACUAGGAUCAGAAUCCGCUGACAUAGUGAGGAGCCAUCUGGGCGUCAAGUUCUGCUGAGGCAACAUUUAGCUGAAACAAGUCCUGGCGAACUCCCAGUCUCGCUGUGCAGCACUUCCGGGUUUUGGAUAGAGUUCUAUAUCCCUUCAGGAAACUCAUGAAAUGGGUUUCUAUGAUCAGGAACAGCAGGCAACUCUAAGAUCACCAUGUACAAAGCUAACCGUUGGCAAUAGUGGUGAAAAGCACUCCGCCGCUGGACUCUGGAGCAUUGGAAACAUGUUCCUUGGAGUGAAGACUUACACCCUGAUCCAUGCAUUAGACUGCAAGAUAGAAAAGUGUGUUUGGCGUGCGUACAAUGCUCUCUACUGUAAUGCAUAGUGCCUUCUCUAAUUCACUCAAACUUACUUUAAAACUUUCCUGUAGAAAGCCUUCCCAGAAGAAAGGAGGCAGUUAUACCUGGCAGCUCCAUAUAUAUCUUGCUUCCUCCUUAUCUUCUGUACACAGAAUGCUUUAUUUGUGUUGAGGAUACUAUUGCAAGUGGGGAUUCUGGGUCACUGAGUACUUCUGUACUUAUUAACAACCUGUUAACUCCUAAUUGUAAAAUUACUAUUAAACAUUCCGAUUUUCCAUUCUAUGUUCCAGCCAGUCUUUCCCCUGUUUUUCAUGUUUCAUGUCCUUAGAUCCCUCUGUAACC
Molecule: long non-coding RNA, 758 nt
Organism: Hyla sarda
Lineage: Eukaryota; Metazoa; Chordata; Amphibia; Anura; Hylidae
Exons: 4
Source: RefSeq, a predicted model, not a curated record